CGUGGUCUCUCUUUCCCUCUCUCUCUGCCCCUCCCCAUGCUCUCUCUCUCCCUCUCUCAAAAUAAAUAAAUAAACUUAAAAAAUAAAAAUAUGUUUGUAGGUAAGGGAAUGUCUACAGAGACUUAAAGAUCAAAUGGUUAACAGUGAUUAUAUCAAGCUAGGUGAGAUUAAAUGACAAUAUCAUGAGGAACAGCCAUAGGGAUAGAUCAAGAACCAGAGUAGGUGAGGCCACAUACAGAGAAUGUGAAAACACUCCCCCAUCAUUUUCCCAAACGUCUGUGAAAACUUGAUGGCUUGCUAGUAACUGGGUUUUUUUGUUUGUUUGUUUUGGUUUUUGCUGGAAUAUCAUUUUAUAGGACAGGUUUUACCUCAGUUACUAGCAAAUUUGUAAAUAAUUGGCAAAUUUUAUUUCAAUUGUAUAAGUAAUAGAAUAAUACUUAGAUUAUAAUAUGCAUAAUUAUAUAGUAAUGCAUAUGCUAGUAAUAUACAAUUAUAUUAUUGAUACAUUUGUAUAGUUAUAUAAUAAAUGAUUUAUUUUAUAGAAUAGUGAUGCUCUAUUUUAUGUGUAAUGGAUAUAUAUUGUUAAUGAGAAAGAAUUACUAGGUAAUUAAAAUCACGUAUGUCAUAUUAAGUGGAAAAAAAUUGAGGGAUCUCUAAUAAGGAAAUCUCUGUGUUGUUUGAUUUUCUCAUAGUCUACCGUUUUAUUACAUAUCUUUCUUACAUAUCUUAAAUAUGGAGUUGGAGAAGCACAGAACUGGACUACUGGAAAAAUGUCAGGAAUGGAUUUUAAAUGUUGCCCUGAGUUUCCUACAGUCACUGUAAUAGUUAGAGCUUAAAUUAAAUGCUGCCCAUCACUGUAGGAUAAUUCCAAGUGCAGGAAGCCUGGGUGCUCUAUGAAAACCAUUCUGGUAGCCCUGCCCUGCCAUUCUUCUAGUUACACCCUUACAUCUGUGACUAAGGGUGAGGGCUGAAUUGGAGCCGGAAGGAGAGAGGGUGACAGGUAGAUUCAAAGUUUUGUUCCAUAUGCGAUGAAAGAAAUGAGAGGUAAGUAAUAGACGCUGAAUAAAGUAGUUCACAGGAUUACUGCUCUAUAAAUGCCAUGUGGAUUCUUGAAAGACCUUUUAAAUGUCAGCUUGUUCUUUCUGGGCUGGUUCUACUGGGUAAGUAAAGUGUAGAAAGCGAAGAUAAUUGCUAUGGUAUAAUGUGAAGAACCUUACAAAAUGUUUCAUCACUUACUCUUCGGUUUCCCCAUAUCAGAAUGAGAUCUGCUUUUUUUUUUUUUUCUUCCCUAAGAAAAUUGGAUGACUCCUCUGGUCGUCAUCAUCUACAGAGAGUAUAUUGGGCACAUUAUUGAAUUCUAAUAACAUUGGAGCAAAGGCUUAUGAUUAUACAUUUAACAUAUUCAUUUAUGCUAAUUUAACAUACUGUUAGAAAGCUAGUUCUAUUUAAAAUUUGCAAUGUUUUGCUAUUUUCUAAUUAAAAAUUGACUGUUACUAAUUAUAAAAUAGGAAGUCUAACCCGGUAACUUAGAAGACAAGUAGAUAUAACACACCCACUUAAGAAGUCUUGAAGAAAAAAAUUUACAUUUAUAAUUUCUGUACAAGUUUAGUAAAGAGGAGAAUGUUCCCUCUCUGAUAACUUCAUGUUACAUAGUGGAAUCACUUCAAGCUUAAGAGUAAAUCAAUAAAAAAUAUCUUCCUUAUAAAAUGUGUUGAGUAUCUAGUAUAUGUUAGGGACUAAGAUAUGUAGUUUUAUUUAUUGAAUAUUCAGUAUUAGGUCAUGUUGAACCCAUUAGCAAAGACUCUGAAAGGCUGAGUGCUAUUUUUGUUUAUAAAGACAAAAUCCCCUUGUCUCCCACUCGCUUCCUCCACUCAUGCUUCCAUAGCUAUUAGCAAAGUCUAAAAUAAAAUUAGGGUUUUGUAAAUGUUGUUUUAUGUAUCAUCUUUGUUUCUUUGCAUUUGGGCACGAAUUUCUCUAUAGAUAGCUUUGCUGUUUGAAUUUGAGCUGGUGGCAUAGCCCUUGGCAUCAUGUGGUUUGUAGACUUAACAUCCCUACUGGAUACACCAUUUGAACGUACGUACUCUUAUUUUCCCUCUGUUCGCAAAAAUGUCACUUCUUUUACAUAGCUAUCCCUUUGUAUGUAUUAAAAUAUGUUAGAAGCUUUACAAAUCAUGGUAUGGGAUGGAUAUGUAAUAUGGGAGCGUGAAAUGGAAGAGUAACCUUCAGUAGGGAAAAGGAAACUUUGUUAGGAAACACUAAAUAUACAAUGAAACUAAGUAUUAUUGAGGUGGGGAUUCUUACUCUUCCCAUUCAUGAAAUUGAUUUCCCAGAGCAGCUUCCUAGUCAUUGCUAACCCUGGUCAUGCUUCCGAGAUCAAUGUUUGAAUAUAUUAGAGACUGAAUAAGUUAAAAGACGCUCAGAGAUCCCUUACACACCUGACUUUUUUGGCAACAGCUCAGGUUUUGACAUCAUGAAUCAACACAGUUUGCUCUUUCGGAGACUGGGUUUCUGUUAUUCCUUACAGAUUGCCUUCCUCACAUCAAGGUUGGCUAGGUCUUUGUUUGGAAGCCAAGUGGGAAGAUACAUUUGCUCUUACUGUCAGUUAUAUGAAAAAGGCACAUUAACCUAAUUCUCUGUAGAAUUUACAUAUAAAUUGGUUUAACACAGGGGGUAAGUCAGUUCAAAAUAGGACACUCUUAGGAUAGACACUUAGUAUAAUGCUUAGUAUAAUAUUGAAUUGAAUUUUUAUCUAAGAAAGUUUUAUUAGGGUUCUUGCUGUUAAAAAAGUUCAGCUGGGUACAUUUAACGAUCAAAUUGGCUUUAUGCAAUGAUUCGUGUCAGACAGCGUCUCAUCAAACAAAUGGAAAGGAGCUCGCAAGAGCUGUACAAAUAGGAUACUUUUAUGCUCAGAAGGGGCAGGGACAAGGAAAAAGUGUCUUAGCUCAUUUUUCUUUCAGGGUUGGAAGGGGUCUGAGUGGAUCACUUACUACUGCUGACCAGGAAUUCCCAGGCUGACGGGUUAAGAUACACUCCUGGGGAAGGACGAAACUGCAGUUCAGUUAGUUUUGGUUCGGUGACAAAGGGUUAGCACGAAUGACCCUCGGUGUCUUUUUUUAACAUCACCAUAGAUCUCUUUUUGGAAAAGACUUUUCUCAUCAGAAUGCUUGUCUCUUUUAUUUGCCCUUUAAAAAAGAAAUCCUUUGUUUCAACUUCUCGCGAUCUUGAUGGUAAUUCUCACACCACAAAUUAACAGUGAUAUCAGAUAUAUUGUGCCCUUGCCUUUUUAUAAUCUGUGGAUUUCCUUGAAUUCGGUGUCAGUUGAAUAGUUUCUUUUAACAUUUUUGCUUUUUUUCUCAAGCUUUUCUCUUUAGUGUUCAAAUCCAAUGUCAGUCUAUACACAGUAAAAUAUAACCUCUUUUUUUGUGCUUUCAUCCCAGUGGGCUGAUUUAUAGAUUUAUAACUUAGGUUUUCACAGCACGUUGACCCAAGGUGGUAGGAAAAGUGGCUCUGUUUUUAUAAACUUUUUAUUAGCUUUUCUAAAGAUAGUAGAUUAUAUUUUGGAAUGUAUUUCACACAUGACUUGCUUUAUAAUACUUUGUAUGCUACUUUGCAUCAUCAGAAAUUUUCCUGAUUUCUCUUCUAAUUGUUUUGAAAUUCAGCAGAUAGACCUUUGCAUGCCCUUUAAAGGAGUUCGAAAGCAGGGUGUUUGGGAAUGAAGCUGUCAUUUCUUUUCCCUCUGCUCUGUCAAAUUUUUUCCACAUUAUUUUGAAAUACAAAAUAUUUGCUAGCGAUAGGACAGGAUUAAAACAGGAUUAUACAUCUAGCUAUGUAUAUACGAUGGAAUAUUACUCAGCUGGAAUGAAAUCCUGCCAUUUGCAAUGACGUGGAUGGAGCUAGAGAGGAUUAUACGACGUGAAAUAAGUCAGAGAAAGGCAAAUACCAUAUGAUUUCACUCCUAUGUGGAAUUAAGAAACAAGAACAGAUGAACAUAGGGGAAGACAAAGAAAAACAGAGAGGGAGGGAAACCAUAAGAGACUCUUAACUAUAGAGAACAAAGUGAGGGUUGCUGGAGGGGAAAUAGGGGGGGAUGGGCUAAAGAGGCAAUGGGGAUCAAGGAGGGCACUUGUGAUGAGCACUGGGUGUUGUAUUUCAGGGUGAAUUACUAGAUUCUGUACCUGAAACUAAUAUUACACUGUGUGUUAACUAACUGGAAUUUAAAUAAAAACUUGGAGAGUAUAUAAAAACAAAUACAUUGAGGCUGGCAGAAUUCAGUUGUGCGUAUUAUAGUAUAUUUUAGGCAAUGAAACAACCAUUUGUAGAAUUACAAUAACUAAAGAAGAUAUUUUAUUGUAUUGUUCAUGAAAAUCAGAGAUUGUGACUGCCUUUACAAAACACUGUAAACGUGAUGACACUUGUUGCAUAGUUUAUAAAUAAACAUUGACCUUGAAUACAACAAUGGGUUGGGUGAAAGGGAAGGGAAGGUAAAACUAUAAUGUCUACUGGGAAUGCAUUCAGAUCCUCUGGGUGCAUAUUAAAGGAAUGUGUUUUAGAUGAAAAAAAAUUACCAAGCUGAAACAACAUUUGAGUUAAUGGAAAAUUCUAGAAAUUUAGUAGAAUAAUAUAUAUGCUAAAUAGCAGAGUCCUCACUUGCCGUUUUUUGGCCACGACUUGGAAAAAUGCCCUUCUAGACAUCUUCAUUGUUUUAUAUUGAACUGUGAGUAUGAUCUUAGAGAAAAAAACUCCGUCUUCUCCCAUUUCUGUCCUUCAGUGGCUACAGAAUGUCUGGGGUCCUCCUCAGGUGUGCGUUUUAUAACUGAUUGAGUCUACAUUCCUCAGAAUGUAGAAAUUUGAUGAGGUUAAUUUAUUAUUUGACCAAAGAUAUUUUUCUUAAGUUUUUUUGCAAAGAUUUUUUUGCAAAGAUUUCUUUCUUAAUUGCAGGUGUUUUGACAAUACUGCUCUUACACAGCCUCAAAGACUUUUAAAUCAGCUGUAAAUACAUCCAAAGAUCUUGGCCUAACAUGAAAACUGGUAUGAGUUCCCACUCAUACCAGCCUUCCCCGCCAGGGUGGAUCUUCCACAUUCACACAGACAGACAAUAAAAAUGUUAGCAUUACAGAAUUCUGCUCACCUUUUAUCCUGAUUUUAGUUUACAUCCACAGGGAAAUACAGUUUGGGGAUCAUCAGGGAACUUAAAAACAGAAACUAUUUUAGGCACAUUUUUAAUUAAAACAAUGAAUGAACAAAAUCCAACCUAUUAUUAAGUGUUUGAGAAGGUAUUUUUUAUAUAUCAUUAAUUUUAUAAACUCAGAGAUAGAAAAUAACUAUUUUUUAGUGAUUUGUCAGCUGUUCCUCCUAAAAAUAUCCUUUAUUAGAUAGUCAUGAUUGUAACAUGAGGUUUUUCUCACCAAUUGAUUGUAGUAUAAUGAUCCAAUGUUGCCAUUGAUAAUUAUUCUUAGCUCUGUUGUUCAGUUGUUACAAAGAUCCUGUCAUUAUUUUAUGAUACUGUUCAUUGUAUAAAAUAUUGGUGAAAUUCACUCAUGACUUAAAUUAUUUUAUCUGUAAAGCUCAGUGCUCAAUUAUCUUUAGUUCCCAUUUGGAACUUAUGCAUUGUUGAAUUCUAUGCCCAGUAAAAUAUCAAAGUUGGGUUUUUUUUAGUUAAUUAGAUUGGCUUUAUUAUUUGACUGUUGAUGUCUGUAGUUUGUGAACAUAUAUUUUGAAUACUUUAGUAUUAAUAUUAUAGAUUGGGUGAGGAAGUGAUUCUAAUGGCAAACUAUUUGAGGGAUUUGUAUUUUGUAUGAAAAAAUGAAUAAGCUAAUUAAUACUGUUAAGUGAUUGCUAAGUCGAGUUGUAUUAGAUACUGUGGUAUUAACCCAGUGGUUGAUUGCUGACCUUUUUGGAGACUUUUGGUACAGUAAGAGGGAGAAAUGAGACAAACUCAAAUUCACUUUUCCUCCUCACUUGUCUACUUACACACUAAUGGGGUUAUAUUUGUACUGCAUAGAUAUCUAAAUCACAAACAGUGAUUUUGACAGAACUCUGGUCUAUAGACCUUGGUUGUCCUUAGCGGACUUGAGGCAAGUGGGAAUUUGUUUUACUGAUGAAUUUCAAGCCUUGUUGGAAAACAAAGUUGAUAGAACUGGGUUUCAUGACUUUGAUAUGUGGAUUAAAGAAAUAAUUAAGGAAAUUUUAUUUACUUCAUUCUAAUUAAUUUAUGUUGAGGGAUUUAUUUUUUUAAGUAUUUAUGGGAUGGUAUAUAAACAUUUUGGUUUUGAUGUUUAGCAUAUUGAACAUUUUCCUUUCUGUGGAAAUAAAGGCUUUGUUACUCAGGGUUCGGUGUACUGAAAUCAGAGCUUAGGCAAGCCUUUUGUCU
Acinonyx jubatus (cheetah) is the source of this 6370-nucleotide long non-coding RNA. RefSeq lists it as uncharacterized. The record is from RefSeq and is a predicted model, not a curated record. The transcript is spliced from 2 exons. Lineage: Eukaryota; Metazoa; Chordata; Mammalia; Carnivora; Felidae.